GAACGGGUGAGUAACACGUGAGUAACCUGCCCCAGGCUUUGGGAUAACCCUCGGAAACGGGGGCUAAUACCGGAUAUUCAUUCCGCGUGGCAUCACGUGGUGUGGAAAGUUUUUCGGCUUGGGAUGGGCUCGCGGCCUAUCAGCUUGUUGGUGGGGUGAUGGCCUACCAAGGCGACGACGGGUAGCCGGCCUGAGAGGGCGACCGGCCACACUGGGACUGAGACACGGCCCAGACUCCUACGGGAGGCAGCAGUGGGGAAUAUUGCACAAUGGGCGGAAGCCUGAUGCAGCGACGCCGCGUGAGGGAUGAAGGCCUUCGGGUUGUAAACCUCUUUCGACAGGGACGAAGCGCAAGUGACGGUACCUGGAGAAGAAGCGCCGGCCAACUACGUGCCAGCAGCCGCGGUAAGACGUAGGGCGCGAGCGUUGUCCGGAUUUAUUGGGCGUAAAGAGCUCGUAGGCGGCUUGUUGCGUCAGCUGUGAAAACCCGCAGCUCAACUGUGGGCUUGCAGCUGAUACGGGCAGGCUUGAGUUCGGUAGGGGAGACUGGAAUUCCUGGU
Molecule: ribosomal RNA, 560 nt
Filed under: Dactylosporangium luteum
Lineage: Bacteria; Bacillati; Actinomycetota; Actinomycetes; Micromonosporales; Micromonosporaceae
Description: bacterial SSU rRNA
Rfam family: Bacterial small subunit ribosomal RNA
Source: RNAcentral